UCAGAUUUAUUAAAAAAGAAAAGAAAAGAAAAGCACAAGUUUCCCAGACUCGCUAGUAGGAGCGGUCGCCUAUUUCCCCUCCGAGAGAAGCGCCUGCGCGCCGUUUCCCGCCCGCCUGAGCACGCCCCGGCGUCCGGGCGCGGCCGCCACGGCAGCCCGCGCUCAGACCGACGGCUAGGCGCGCCGCCGCGCUGAGCUCCGUCUCCCCGUCCGUCAAGGGGGGAUAACGCAAUCGACCCGGAGACACGGCGACGGGCGCCCACUAAACGCUCGGCGCAGCUCUCCAGUGACGCGACCGAGGAAAACAAGCAACACCGGCCUCUUGACUUCGCUCCCCGCCAGUGAACCCCCCAGCCCUACGCAGGGACAGGAAGCACUAAUGUGCUCAAGAUCAGCAUGAGUUUGUGCUGUGCACCCUGAUCUGGAAUGUGUCACGGGGGGCAAUGGAGAAGAAUAGGAUACUUACAUCGAGCGACCACACUGACGUUUUACACCCGUUAAGAGUCCUGUGCUCUGUUCAGUAUUUUAAGGCCCAGGAGGGCGAGGAGCGACUUGGGAACGUGCGGGGGCAGCGCCAGCAGGGGGCGGCGGGGAGCAGAGCCGCCGGCAGAAACCCGAGGGUAAGACCGAAACCACGGGUCACGGCCGGAAAGACGAAGCUGAACUCGCUUUGAAGGUCUCCUGCAUUACUGAAAAAGAGAGAAGAGGAGAGAUUUGAAGAAGUGUUUCUGAUGGUGAAUUUUGUUAGGACUUUAAAAAAUGGCUUUAAUUAGUUUAAAGACUCCAUAUGGUUUGGUGCCAUUUACAUGAAAUAGCCUCAAGGGGCAAAUCUGCAGACAGCGCAGGUGGUCGCCUAGGGCUGGGACCUGGGGCUGGGAUGGAGGUUUGGGGGAUGCAGAGGGGAGGAGGGGUUCUGUGGCGUAGGAACCACCCUAAAGUCAUGGAGGUAAGUUCAGAACUCCUUGAAAUACUAACAGCCGUUGAACUGUACCCUGUAAAUGAAAGAACUAUAUGGUGUAAGAAUUGUGUCUCGACAAAACUGUUGCUUUAAACUUAUGGCACUUUAGAAAUCUUAAUGUGGAGAUCUCCAAAUUUAUUUCUAACGAGUAUUAAUGUGUUUCUGGAUAAUAAAUGAUCAUAUGCCCUAGUGACUGAAAUUUCUGUCAGCAGUUUCAUUUCCAGCAGAUACAGAUUAAUUUCUAUCAUUUCAGGUGAACCCAGGCAGUUUCUCAGGAGCCCCGGGAGAGAG
Molecule: long non-coding RNA, 1249 nt
Organism: Balaenoptera ricei (Rice's whale)
Lineage: Eukaryota; Metazoa; Chordata; Mammalia; Artiodactyla; Balaenopteridae
Exons: 3
Source: RefSeq, a predicted model, not a curated record